UUGGAGGGCAAGUCUGGUGCCAGCAGCCGCGGUAAUUCCAGCUCCAAUAGCGUAUAUUAAAGUUGUUGCAGUUAAAAAGCUCGUAGUUGAAUUUCGGGAUUAAUUUAUUGGUCGUGCUAUUGUACGUACUGGUAUUAUUGAUUCCUACCUUCUGACGAACCACGAUGUCAUUAAUUUGGUGUCAUGGGGAAUCAGGACUGUUACUUUGAAAAAAUUAGAGUGUUUAAAGCAGGCUCACGCUUGAAUACAUUAGCAUGGAAUAACGAAAUAGGACGUUUGAUUCUAUUUUGUUGGUUUCUAGGAUCGACGUAAUGAUUAAUAGGGAUAGUUGGGGGCAUUAGUAUUCAAUUGUCAGAGGUGAAAUUCUUGGAUUUAUUGAAGACUAACUACUGCGAAAGCAUUUGCCAAGGAUGUUUUCAUUAAUCAAGAACGAAAGUUAGGGGAUCGAAGACGAUCAGAUACCGUCGUAGUCUUAACCAUAAACUAUGCCGACUAGGGAUCGGAUGAUGUUAAUUUUUUAAUGACUCAUUCGGCGCCAC
This 539-nucleotide ribosomal RNA is filed under the name uncultured Glomeraceae. RNAcentral's name for it is "SSU rRNA". It matches the Rfam family "Eukaryotic small subunit ribosomal RNA", at positions 548 to 1089 of the family's 1831-position model. Lineage: Eukaryota; Fungi; Glomeromycota; Glomeromycetes; Glomerales; Glomeraceae. The record is from RNAcentral.